This is a microRNA precursor of Equus caballus (horse), 145 nucleotides long. Lineage: Eukaryota; Metazoa; Chordata; Mammalia; Perissodactyla; Equidae. The record is from Ensembl.
UCUGAGGACCAGGGAGAAUGCCUGGACCAUGCCGUGACAGAUCGUGAUCACGGGCAUCUGGCGCUGCGGGGUGUCCUCUGAGGGGGCCGCAGAUGCAGGUUCAGGGUGGGGGUCGUGUGUCAUGGGCAGGCGUGUGUGUCCUGGG